AAGUAAAAAACGUUAAGUUAAAAUAGCAAUAAUAGUGAUGUUUACUUAUGCAAUCAUGUGGACAAGUCAUUGAAUAGUUUAUAAAUUCAGAAUAAUAGUUUGUUCUCUUAAACACGUCAUAAAAAUAUUGGAGAUAUUAAUGUGGUAUUUUGUGAUUCAUAACAGUGUGCUACAGAAUAGAAAUAUAAACAAACCUUAACAUAAUAUGAAAGUCAGCUAUUCAUUAUUUUUUAAAAUCAGUGACUGAAAUACUUUCUGAAAACAGAAUCCUCCCACUGAAAUUCAGUAGUAAAAGCCGUCUGCCGACAAAUCUCUAAAUAGAAGCUUUUCUGGGUUAGUUUUAUAGGAAAAUUUGGGGGAAUUUCAAAACCCAAUGAAAACACUUCCCAAAAACUUACCCAGUGCAUCUGCUGACCUACUUUUCUCAUCAUCAUCAAGUACUAGAAGUUUAUAGUGUCAACUUGCAAAUGACACUUCUGAAACUUCAUUGCGUUAAAAAACAAAAUUUAAAGGCGAUUACUGUUGGGUCUGUGUGAACUUGGAUAGCAGUGCUGCUCAAACU
Molecule: long non-coding RNA, 562 nt
Filed under: Bos taurus (domestic cattle)
Lineage: Eukaryota; Metazoa; Chordata; Mammalia; Artiodactyla; Bovidae
Description: long non-coding RNA NONBTAT020470
Source: RNAcentral